This 84-nucleotide transfer RNA is filed under the name Paenibacillus agri. It matches the Rfam family "tRNA". From Rfam's summary of the family: Transfer RNA (tRNA) molecules are approximately 80 nucleotides in length. Their secondary structure includes four short double-helical elements and three loops (D, anti-codon, and T loops). Lineage: Bacteria; Bacillati; Bacillota; Bacilli; Caryophanales; Paenibacillaceae. The record is from Rfam by way of RNAcentral.
GCGGUCGUGGCGGAAUUGGCAGACGCGCACGGUUCAGGUCCGUGUGGUAGUAAUACUGUGGAGGUUCGAGUCCUCUCGACCGCA